Microtus oregoni (creeping vole) is the source of this 622-nucleotide long non-coding RNA. RefSeq lists it as uncharacterized. The record is from RefSeq and is a predicted model, not a curated record. Lineage: Eukaryota; Metazoa; Chordata; Mammalia; Rodentia; Cricetidae. The transcript is spliced from 3 exons.
CCGGGUUUCAGGUUUGGCUUUGAAGAGGAGCUGGCGCCAGUGGUUUAGUAUGCUGUGGAGCUGCUGCUGCUGCUGCAGGGAGAGGAUGAGCUAAGAGUUUUGGCGAGCUGGGGAACCACAACAUGGAAAAUACCAUACGUCUUCAAAAAUCCAGAGACUUGGUCAUCUAGAUGCUUAAAGAAGAAAAUAUAACUGUCUAGAAAGAUUCACCAAGCAAAGAGAAAUCUGACUUAUGAUAUCCAUAUUCUUUGCAAGGCCACAGCAGAUUCUGCUUUGGGAAUUGUCUACCAAAUGAGAAAAUUCAGUAAGAAAGAACAGCUGUAUUUAGAGCAGUGGGACCAGAACCUGUGAUGUGAGCAAGGUACAGCAGGCGGGACCAGGCAACUUAGAGCAUGAGCUCACGUGCACGUGCAGCUGUGACACUGUCUAGCACUGGGAACUAACUCAGGGGUAUACAGAGGCAACCUGGAAGAGGGAAUUUAAAACCUGGCAUUAAGCAUGCAGGCGGGAGAAUCUGACGUGCAUGGCCAGCGACUGCCAGGCUGUUGAAAAUGCCUUUGUGAGCAUUCUGUGGACCUGUGGCAGUCAUGGCCUUUCUCAGGCCAGAUCUAGUGGUUGUAGG